UCCUCAUUGUUCUUCCUGUCAAAUUACUAUUAAAUGUAAGUGUAAACUGAUGAUUUGCAUCCUCUGUACUGAAGAUUAUUUCUUGUUUAUUUUCUUAAACUGCAAAGGCCUUAUCUUGUGUGUGUUAAUAUGUUACCUUGGAUAUUAAUUUUGGUAUAGGUUUGUUGCGCAAAAACUCACUUGUUGAAUUUUCUCAAGUAACAUCUGGUAACCAUAUCAAGUAACGGAGAAACAUAUUCUAGUUUCCAGCAAGACGUCGUUGAUUUGCUUAUAUCCAGUUCUGCUAUUAAUUUACUGAAGCAUGUUCCUCUAUAUUGUGCUGGUCUCAUAUAGAUUUGGCAAAGUAUAAUUUCUUCAAAUUGUGAAGUGAAACCUAAUGUGGAAACUCUAGUAUUGUAGUAUGUUUCUGCCUAUUGUGCUCGCCUUAUACAUAUUUGCCGAAAAUAGCAUGUACAUAAAGGAAACUAGAUGAAGAAAGUUAACUAUCUGUUUUGAACAUUGGUACAUUCAGACCCUUAAUCUAAUACUAUCCUUCUUAUCCUGGUCAAUAUCAAAUACUCUUACUUAUCUUGGUCGAUACAAAUAAAUUGCCGUACUAUUUAUUUCAUAAGCUACUGAUCCACUAAUUAUCUAGAUGACUAAGAACAUUGGUAACAUUCACACCCUUAAUCUAAUAAGUAUCCUUCUUAUCCUGAUCGAUAUUAAGUACUCUUACUUAUCAUGGUUGAUACAAAUAUACUGUCGUACUAUUUAUUUCAUAAGCUACUGAUUCACUAAUUAUCUAGAUAACAUCCUUGUUCUCCUGGGCUUUGCUUUCCAUACUUCAUCUUCAUCUUCAAGCAUUGUAUUUUUGGCCUUUUGUCCUUUUGUUCAGGCAUAUUCGUCUCAGUGCAUUCAUCCUCUGAGCUAUCUGAUAUUGCAACAGAUCUAAGUCUCCUUUUAUUGCCACUUCGGAGCACACGUGAUGACGAUGAUACUUUGUCUUGACGCUUAUCUUUGUUUAAUGUAGUCCCAUUGCUAUCAUUUGGCUCCUCUUUCACAGGCACCCGUUCGCAUGAAAGUUCGCCAGGUGAAACUUUAUUAUUCUUUGACUGCAAUCAUAUAGAAUUUCAAAAUUAGACACAUCUCUAAAAUCUGAAGUUUGUAUAUAGUUUUAAAAAAUCAUUCACCUUUCUAUCCGGCAUGUUCUGCUUCUUCAUUAACACGGUGUCAACUUCAUCAUCCAUCAGUUCCUGUGCAACAUAUGUAAGAUGAAUUAGUUAAGGAAUUCUGAAAAUGGUAAAAAUUUAAUGCGACUUUACCUCCUCGGCUUUAUUGUCCAAGUAGAGCAUCUCAACCUUAGCAUUAGGCACAAAUGUUCUUUUUACUGCAUAGUUUUGUGUGCCGAAUGUGAGAUUACUAUCAUUGAGCCUUAACCGAAAUAUAAGUCUUUUUCCACAUAAUUGUUGAAUAAUCUUUGGCGCUUCUUCCGAUUUCCCAUCUAGUGUGUCCAGCAACUUAGAUGCAGAUGUAUUAAGAAAUCUUGCAGCCUCCUCGUCAAAUAAAGUGCAACUUGUAGUAGAUGUAUGGUCACUAAUUUGGAGUCGAACACGGUACCUAACAUACAACUCAUGUUAGUGGAGAGUAAAUAUAAUAUAACAGUUGUUCAUAUUUUAGUAACAUAAUAUGCUUACCGAGGUGCGACCUUCUCUGGAUAUAUACCACAACUGUUGCAAUAAUACUUGUCGGUUUCUUUGGUAGCCAAUUUGUGACACUUAUCACAUGACAUGUACCACCAUUGAAUAUUUUCUUGCAAACGAUCUACUAUUGCUAUUGCUGCCAAUCUGAGAAGUUAGUGCACAUGAGGGAGGUUUGGUUAAAUUUGAGACAUCCAUAUGCAUAUGCACUUACUCUGGCAUUAGGAUUUCAAUCUCGCGGAGAUAUGAAGGUUGUGGGUUCUUCUUUGUUAUUCUUGUCUCCACAGGCUUCAUUUGUGUUAGUAGUCCAAUGACAUCUGUAUAUUUGUAUAUUAGUGAUAUAACAAUUAGAAAUAACAAUUAUUUGGAAGUCAAAAUUACAACUGUAAACAUACUUGAGCAUUGUGUAUCUUUUUCUGCCCUUUCUUCUAGUGUGUCCAUGGUAGCAAACUCGAAGCAAUAAUCUGGAAAAACUUCUGAAGAUCCUUUUAUCUCCUUUACCUUUGUAUUGUAUGCAAAAAAUAUUUGAAUUUCAUUGCUCACUGGCCUAUAUUUUGUGGAUUCCACAACCUUAAAAUUGUUGAAUGCAUAAACUGAUUUCUCAAUGAUUUUUGAUCUAAAAGUAUCUAUAAGAUUCUUCCAGAUAGUAGCAUGGAUUGAUUCACCCUGUCGAAAGAAUCAAAUAUGUUUAGUAAUUGUUGCUUCAUCUGACAGAAAAGUUCCAAUUAAUAUAUUAAAAAAAAGACCUGCUCAUCCAUCAGUAUCAUAUCUAGGCUAAUAAGAUCAUCGGUUGUAGGAUUGACUGAAUCCCACAUUCUCAUUACUUUCACUUGAAUGUUUCAAUUCUGUCCCCUUGUAGUUAAGUCGCUCAACUUCUUGUAUGCCAUAGUGUUAUGUCUUCAAAAUUAACAGGGAACAAUUUGUCAGUUGAAAUAGUAUUUAUGAAGAUUCUAUCUAGAAAAAGUAAGCUUACUAAAUAACAAUUACCAAUCUGAUGAUGCAGACCGAAAGUGGUUUCGGGUCACUUCUUCCGACGUUGAUUGGAGCAGUUGGGCGUAACUUCAUCGGGCGUCGAGUGUGCUUUGGCGUGACUUCGUCGGAAGUCGAUUGAAGCGGCUGGAGGUGGCUUUUGGUGUGGACGUCGAGUCGCGUGUGGCUUGUUCAAGUCGUGGUUGCUGACUUCUAACUGUUUGGUGGUUGCUUGUCCGGCCGGCUAUACUUAUAUAAUGGGUUGUGUUGAGGUGUCUUGGGUUGAGGUGGCUGAGACCGUGUGGAGAUCAGAUUGUGAAAUUGUCUGUAUUUGUUUCUGUUUUGGAACUUUCCUCGCGUGGUCUGGUGGUUGUCCUUAUUUUGUUUAGGUUCCUUAUUUGUUUAGGUUUGACUAUUAUUUUUUCUUAUCCUUGACCCAUUGAUGGAAAGAUAUUUUUUAUUUGUGCGGGCUAGUUGAUGUUCGAUGGACAUGGAUGUUUUUUUAACUUGUGUGCACUAUUUGCACGUGCCAUGUUGUAAUAGUUGUACGUGCACAUAUUUUUUGACGUAACAUUUGCAUCUUUUAAUCUCAGCUAUCAAUAAAUAAAUCGAAGGAUCAAGAAAAUUUAAUCUAUGUGGACGCACGUGAUGUCUUGUUUGACUUCUGUUUUAAUUAAAUAAUAAUAAUAGAUAAUAGAUAGAUUUAGGUGGCUUUGGAAGAGUUGAUGGGAGUAAAAAAACAUGCACAUGCAGACACGUGGGGAGCUGGGGUAGUCUUCUGGAUUUGGAGAAGUGCCGAUUUUCAAGGACAUGCGGGGAGCUGGGGCAGUAGAGCAGUGCCGCUUUCGAAGAACUUAUACCUGAG
Molecule: long non-coding RNA, 3510 nt
Filed under: Triticum aestivum (bread wheat)
Lineage: Eukaryota; Viridiplantae; Streptophyta; Magnoliopsida; Poales; Poaceae
Description: long non-coding RNA (TAES_LNC016331)
Source: RNAcentral